RNAcentral lists this small RNA (134 nucleotides) under Salmonella enterica. RNAcentral describes it as "RtT sRNA". It matches the Rfam family "RtT RNA". Rfam says of the family: This family represents a bacterial cis-regulatory element known as RtT RNA. The exact function of RtT is unknown although it is thought that it may be involved in changing the cellular response in relation to amino acid starvation. Lineage: Bacteria; Pseudomonadati; Pseudomonadota; Gammaproteobacteria; Enterobacterales; Enterobacteriaceae. The record is from RNAcentral. RNAcentral also lists the same sequence under 15 other names.
UGUAUCUGAGGCCUGACGAGGAUGAGAACCUCCGGGGGCAAGAGGUUCGACCCGAGCGAAGCGAGAGAACGUUGCGUCAGCAACGGCCCGCAGGGCGAGCCACGCAGUGGCGAGUCAUCCUCUAUCACCGACCA